RNAcentral lists this transfer RNA (73 nucleotides) under Otolemur garnettii (small-eared galago). It matches the Rfam family "tRNA". Rfam says of the family: Transfer RNA (tRNA) molecules are approximately 80 nucleotides in length. Their secondary structure includes four short double-helical elements and three loops (D, anti-codon, and T loops). Further hydrogen bonds mediate the characteristic L-shaped molecular structure. tRNAs have two regions of fundamental functional importance: the anti-codon, which is responsible for specific mRNA codon recognition, and the 3' end, to which the tRNAs corresponding amino acid is attached (by aminoacyl-tRNA synthetases). tRNAs cope with the degeneracy of the genetic code in two manners: having more than one tRNA (with a specific anti-codon) for a particular amino acid; and 'wobble' base-pairing, i.e. permitting non-standard base-pairing at the 3rd anti-codon position. The record is from Rfam by way of RNAcentral. Lineage: Eukaryota; Metazoa; Chordata; Mammalia; Primates; Galagidae.
AGCCCUGUAGCUCAGUGGGUAGGGCGCCGGCCACAUACACCGAGGCUGGCGGGUUCGAACCCUGCCUGGGCCA